CMWUGGCGGCWGCUUACMCAUGCAGUCGAACGGGGUUCUUCGGAACCUAGUGGCGGACGGGUGAGUAACGCGUGAGAACCUACCUUCAGGAUGGGGAUAACGACUGGAAACGGUCGCUAAGACCCAAUGUGCCGAGAGGUGAAAUAUUAAUAGCCUGAAGAUGGGCUCGCGUCCGAUUAGGUAGUUGGUUAGGUAACGGCUGACCAAGCCAGUGAUCGGUAGCUGGUCUGAGAGGAUGAUCAGCCACACUGGGACUGAGACACGGCCCAGACUCCUACGGGAGGCAGCAGUGGGGAAUUUUCCGCAAUGGGCGAAAGCCUGACGGAGCAAUACCGCGUGAGGGAGGAAGGCUCUUGGGUUGUAAACCUCUUUUAUUCGGGAAGAAUACUGACGGUACCGAAUGAAUCAGCAUCGGCUAACUCCGUGCCAGCAGCCGCGGUAAUACGGAGGAUGCAAGCGUUAUCCGGAUUUAUUGGGCGUAAAGCGUCCGCAGGUGGUUUAUCAAGUCUGCUGUCAAAGCGUGGAGCUUAACUCCAUAUCGGCGGUGGAAACUGAUAGGCUAGAGUUCGGUAGGGGUAGCGGGAAUUCCUGGUGUAGCGGUGAAAUGCGUAGAUAUCAGGAAGAACACCGGCGGCGAAAGCGCGCUACUGGGCCGGUACUGACACUGAGGGACGAAAGCCAGGGGAGCGAAAGGGAUUAGAUACCCCUGUAGUCCUGGCUGUAAACGAUGGGUACUAGGUGUUGCACGUAUCGACCCGAGCCKKGCCCGAAGCCCA
This 776-nucleotide ribosomal RNA is filed under the name Pantanalinema sp. CNW3. RNAcentral's name for it is "bacterial SSU rRNA". The record is from RNAcentral. Lineage: Bacteria; Bacillati; Cyanobacteriota; Cyanophyceae; Leptolyngbyales; Leptolyngbyaceae.